GAUGAAGAACGCAGCGAAAUGCGAUAAGUAAUGUGAAUUGCAGAAUUCAGUGAAUCAUCGAAUCUUUGAACGCACCUUGCGCCCCUUGGUUAUUCCAAAGGGCAUGCCUGUUUGAGUAUCAUGAACACCUCAACUCUUGUGGUUUCCCACAAUGAGCUUGGACUGUGGAGGUUUUGUUGGCCCUGUGGUCAGCUCCUCUCAAAUGGAUCAGCUUACCGGUGUUUGGUGGCAUUACGGGUGUGAUAACUAUCUACGCUCGUGGUCGUCCCCAAAUAACCUCCAGUGAUGGAGGUUCGCUGGAGCUUAUAAAUGUCUCUCCCCAGUGAAGACAGCCUUUGAACGUUCGAUCUCAAAUCAGGUAGGACUACCCGCUGAACUUAAGCAUAUCAAUAAGCGGAGGA
This 401-nucleotide unclassified non-coding RNA is filed under the name soil metagenome. RNAcentral describes it as "partial contains 5.8S ribosomal RNA, internal transcribed spacer 2, and large subunit ribosomal RNA". The stretch from base 1 to 121 matches the Rfam family "5.8S ribosomal RNA", at positions 35 to 154 of the family's 154-position model. The record is from RNAcentral.